GAUGAACGCUGGCGGCGUGCCUAAUACAUGCAAGUCGAGCGAACGGACGAGAAGCUUGCUUCUCUGAUGUUAGCGGCGGACGGGUGAGUAACACGUGGAUAACCUACCUAUAAGACUGGGAUAACUUCGGGAAACCGGAGCUAAUACCGGAUAAUAUUUUGAACCGCAUGGUUCAAAAGUAAAAGUCGGUCUUGCUGUCACUUAUAGAUGGAUCCGCGCUGCAUUAGCUAGUUGUUAAGGUAACGGCUUACCAAGGCAACGAUGCAUAGCCGACGUGAGAGGGGGAUCGCCCACACUGGAAGUGGGACGCGGUCAAGACGCCUACGGGAGGCAGCAGACGGGAAUCUGCCGCAAUGGGCGGAAGCCUGACGGAGCGAGGCCGCGUGAGAGAUGAAAGUGCUCGGAUCGUAAAACUCUGUUAUGAGGGAAGAACAUAUGUGUAAGGAACUGUGCACAUAUUGACGGUAACGGGUAAGAAAGCAACGGCUAACUACGUG
RNAcentral lists this ribosomal RNA (497 nucleotides) under uncultured bacterium. RNAcentral describes it as "partial 16S ribosomal RNA". It matches the Rfam family "Bacterial small subunit ribosomal RNA", at positions 28 to 507 of the family's 1533-position model. The record is from RNAcentral.